This 468-nucleotide ribosomal RNA is filed under the name uncultured bacterium. Its description in RNAcentral is "partial 16S ribosomal RNA". It matches the Rfam family "Bacterial small subunit ribosomal RNA", at positions 28 to 507 of the family's 1533-position model. The record is from RNAcentral.
GACGAACGCUGGCGGCGUGCUUAACACAUGCAAGUCGAACGGAAAGGCCCUGCUCUUGUGGGGUGCUCGUGUGGCGCAGGGGUGUGUAACACGUGUGUACCCUCCCCUUGUCUGUGGGAUAUCUUCAGGAAACUGGGGCUAAUACCGGAUAGGAUCUCCUGCUGCGUGGGGGGGGUUGGAGAGUUUCGGCGGUUGGGGAUGGACUGGCGGCAUAUCCGCUUGUUGGUGGGGUAGUGGGUUACCAAGGGUUUGACGGGUAGCCGGCGUGAGAGGGUUGCGGGCCACCUGGGGCCUGAGAUAGGGCCCAGAAUCCAACGGGAGGCAGCAGUGGGGAAUAUUGCACAAUGGGGGGACGCCUGAGGCAGAAACCCCGGGUGCGGGAUACCGGCUUUUGGGUUGAAAACCGCUUUCGCCUGGGACGAAGAGUGAGUGACGGUAAUGGGUAAAGAAGCACCGGCUAACUACGUG